GAUGAACGCUGGCGGCGUGCCUAAUACAUGCAAGUCGAGCGAACAGACGAGGCGCUUGCUCCUCUGACGUUAGCGGCGGACGGGUGAGUAACACGUGGAUCACCUACCUAUAAGACUGGGAUAACUUCGGGAAACCGGAGCUAAUCCCGGAUAACAUGUUGAACCGCAUGGUUCAACAGUGAAAGACGGUCUUGCUGUCACUUCUAGAUGGAUCCGCGCCGUAUUAGCUGGUUGGUAAGGUAACGGCUUACCAAGGCAACGAUGCGUGGCCGACCUGAGAGGGUGAUCGGCCACACGGGAACUGAGACACGGUCAAGACUCCUACGGGAGGCAGCAGUAGGGAACGUGCCGCAAUGGGCGAAAGCCUGACGGAGCAACGCCGCGUGAGUGAUGAAGGCCUUCGGAUCGUAAAACUCUGUUAUUAGGGAAGAACAAAUGUGUAAGUAACUAUGCACGUCUUGACGGUACCUAAUCAGAAAGCCACGGCUAACUACGUG
RNAcentral lists this ribosomal RNA (497 nucleotides) under uncultured bacterium. Its description in RNAcentral is "partial 16S ribosomal RNA". It matches the Rfam family "Bacterial small subunit ribosomal RNA", at positions 28 to 507 of the family's 1533-position model. The record is from RNAcentral.